RNAcentral lists this ribosomal RNA (426 nucleotides) under uncultured bacterium. Its description in RNAcentral is "bacterial SSU rRNA". It matches the Rfam family "Bacterial small subunit ribosomal RNA", at positions 356 to 774 of the family's 1533-position model. The record is from RNAcentral.
GGGGAAUAUUGGACAAUGGGGGCAACCCUGAUCCAGCAAUGCCGCGUGUGUGAAGAAGGCCUUCGGGUUGUAAAGCACUUUUAUCGGGAACGAAACAUUGUCGGCCAAUACCCGGCAAGACUGACGGUACCCGAGGAAUAAGCACCGGCUAACUCCGUGCCAGCAGCCGCGGUAAUACGGAGGGUGCAAGCGUUAAUCGGAAUUACUGGGCGUAAAGCGUGCGCAGGCGGUUUGUUAAGUCUGCUGUGAAAUCCCCGAGCUCAACUUGGGAAUUGCAGUGGAUACUGGCAAGCUGGAGUACGGUAGAGGAAGGUGGAAUUCCCGGUGUAGCAGUGAAAUGCGUAGAGAUCGGGAGGAACACCAGUGGCGGAGGCGGCCUUCUGGACCAGUACUGACGCUCAUGCACGAAAGCGUGGGGAGCAAACA